Phascolarctos cinereus (koala) is the source of this 823-nucleotide non-coding RNA. NCBI's taxonomy places the organism in Eukaryota, Metazoa, Chordata, Mammalia, Diprotodontia, Phascolarctidae. The record is from RefSeq and is a predicted model, not a curated record.
ACCACUUCAGUAUCUUUGCCCAAAAAACUUCAUGGACUAUACGGUGUCAUGAAGAGUUGGACACAACUGAAUGACAGCAACGAUCUGAUUCUUAGAGCUUUAUCCAAAGACUUCUUGAGAUACUUUCUCCAUCUCCACGAGGCACCUUCUAACUUCUGGGAUCCCAGCCCAGCUGUCUGGGACUCAGGCCCUGGCAGUGUUUGGUUUGACAUUCAUCUGCCUUGCAGGGGAUUAGGGCUCCCACGUCCCUCUCUAGCUCUGUCUCCAGCCCCAGUGGCCAUCUCUUUGUCCGAAGAAGGCUAGAGUAUUCUUGGCUUGGCCCCCUUUCCAGGGAAAAACCAGAUGUUAUCACUUCACUUUUUAAUAAAUUCUUCCCCCAUCAUUCAGUCAGUAGCAGGUGACUGAGUAGGUCCAGGGGGAAAAUAAAGACUAUUCCCACAUUUCACAAUCUCCUCAAGCAGACAAAAGUUGCAUCACCCUGCUCCCCAGAGUACACAAGAAAGAAAUAUUUCUGUCCAUGACUCUUGUAGAACUCCAUGUACACAUAUGUUGUGAUAGUGACAUGCAGAACAUCAUUUCAGUGCAGUGAAUCAGACUGGUUUCCCCUCUGUCCUCAAGGGAAUUGUGGAUCCAAAUGCUGUCUUGAUCACAGGAGAAGUAAAUUGAUUGAAGUUAGCCUUUGACAUUUUCCAGGGACCAAUGAACUCAUGAAGCUGGGCCUGACCUGGAUAGAAAUGUGGACUUCAGAUUUUGGGAGUGUUUCUACCUUUGCAUGUUAUGAAAGAGAUGGGUGUGUUUCUUCUGAUAAAUGACUCCAAAUGAA